Camelina sativa (false flax) is the source of this 843-nucleotide long non-coding RNA. RefSeq lists it as uncharacterized. The record is from RefSeq and is a predicted model, not a curated record. Lineage: Eukaryota; Viridiplantae; Streptophyta; Magnoliopsida; Brassicales; Brassicaceae.
AUAUAAGAGACUCUACGUGUCAUCAAAUGGUUGGGCAAGGAGAUAAAAACUUUUGAUGGUCGAUUAAUUGUUUUUCUUCCUCUUCCUCUCCUUCUCUCUGUCUCUCGAAUCAGAGGAGAUUCGGAUCUGAGGAGAUGUGAAUCGGAGGACAUUGAAUCAGCGGAGGUGAACUUAGACGAGAUUGAUUUUGCAACUCUGUGUAAUCUCCUUUUGUCAACGAAAUUAUUAUGGUUGGAGUCAAGAAGCUAAAGAUAUGGUUGCUGCUUUCUCAGGUGAUGAUUCUCUCCCCAAGCCCAACAGAGGAGGAUAUAGGACUGAACAACCAACUUCAGAAUGAACCAGAACCGUUGAGGCGUGAAAGCUAAGACAGACAACAGUUCAGUUGGUGUGGUAACAAGAGAUGGAUAGGCUCGUGCAUAAAAGUUAAGGAUAGGGUCGUUUUACUAAUUCGCAUCUCUAAUUUCAGACAGUAGUUAGCACUUUUCUCUAGUAUGUUGAGAAAAUUAUAACCUGAGUUACCCACUUCUUGGCCCUCUUCUUGUGUCCAAGAGUAAUGGUGGGAAAGUGGUAAUUACGAUAUAGCAAUACCGAUAUAACUAUAUCAGCAGGUAUUGCUAUAUAGGUGGUGGUCUUGUGAAAAUGUAGCAGUGGUGACCGGUUGGAAUUGUACUUGAGAUUGCAAGGCAGCUUGCAGGUCAUGGAUUGACUGUUGUUCUUACAGCCAGAAACGUGGAUGCUGGCCAUAAUUCAGGUUUCAACAUAUGACAAUAUAUGAAAAUUGAAUAAGUUAUACACUGAUUUGGCAAAAUUUUGGCACAAUUCUAUCAAAAUUACAAUUAAUCU